UACAGAGGGUGCGAGCGUUAAUCGGAUUUACUGGGCGUAAAGCGUGUGUAGGUGGCUACCUAAGUCGAUUGUGAAAUCCCUGGGCUCAACCUGGGAAUUGCAGUCGAUACUGGGAAGCUCGAGUUUGGUAGAGGACGGCGGAAUUCCCGGUGUAGCGGUGAAAUGCGUAGAUAUCGGGAGGAACAUCGAUGGCGAAAGCAACCGUCUGGGCCUGAACUGACACUGAGACACGAAAGCGUGGGGAGCAAACAGG
Molecule: ribosomal RNA, 253 nt
Filed under: uncultured bacterium
Lineage: Bacteria
Description: partial 16S ribosomal RNA
Rfam family: Bacterial small subunit ribosomal RNA
Source: RNAcentral